GCGGACGAUGUCGCGGGCGACAGCUAAUAUAAAAUAACAUUUUCAACAGAUAAUUUGCUAGCACAAGACAAUCAAAUUGGUCCUUUGCGAGUCGGAUACUGGACUACAAAUAACUAAUUAAACGAAAAAAAAUUGCAAGGUUCAACAGUGACGAGCAUGCCGCUAGUGACUGGCACGCGGCGUCGCACGAGCGGCGCGUCGUGUACGUCCAGGCCGAGGUAGUGCGACACGUGGUGCGGGCACAGACGGAUGCCCUCCUGCUGCAGAUGUGUGCCGAGCAGCCGGCACAUCUGGUCGAAGAGCUGGUCUAGUGGAGGUCGUUGCUCCC
Molecule: long non-coding RNA, 328 nt
Organism: Papilio xuthus (Asian swallowtail)
Lineage: Eukaryota; Metazoa; Arthropoda; Insecta; Lepidoptera; Papilionidae
Exons: 3
Source: RefSeq, a predicted model, not a curated record